AGAGUUUGAUCCUGGCUCAGGACGAACGCUGGCGGCGUGCUUAACACAUGCAAGUCGAACGGUGAAGGGGCUGGUUUUGCUGGUCCUGGAUGAGUGGCGAACGGGUGAGUAACACGUGAGUAACCUGCCCCCUUCUUCUGGAUAACCGCAUGAAAGUGUGGCUAAUACGGGAUAUUCUGGGUCUGUCGCAUGGUGGGCCUGGGAAAGGUUUUUUCCGGUGGGGGAUGGGCUCGCGGCCUAUCAGCCUGUUGGUGGGGUGAUGGCCUACCAAGGCGGUGACGGGUAGCCGGCCUGAGAGGGUGGACGGUCACACUGGGACUGAGACACGGCCCAGACUCCUACGGGAGGCAGCAGUGGGGAAUAUUGCACAAUGGGCGCAAGCCUGAUGCAGCGACGCCGCGUGAGGGAUGGAGGCCUUCGGGUUGUGAACCUCUUUCGCCAGUGAAGCAGGCCUGCUCCUUUUUUGUGGGUGGGUUGACGGUAGCUGGAUAAGAAGCGCCGGCUAACUACGUGCCAGCAGCCGCGGUAAUACGUAGGGCGCGAGCGUUGUCCGGAAUUAUUGGGCGUAAAGAGCUCGUAGGCGGCUGGUCGCGUCUGUCGUGAAAUCCUCUGGCUUAACUGGGGGCUUGCGGUGGGUACGGGCCGGCUUGAGUGCGGUAGGGGAGGCUGGAACUCCUGGUGUAGCGGUGGAAUGCGCAGAUAUCAGGAAGAACACCGGUGGCGAAGGCGGGUCUCUGGGCCGUUACUGACGCUGAGGAGCGAAAGCGUGGGGAGCGAACAGGAUUAGAUACCCUGGUAGUCCACGCCGUAAACGUUGGGCACUAGGUGUGGGGGGCCUUUUCCGGGUUUUCCGCGCCGUAGCUAACGCAUUAAGUGCCCCGCCUGGGGAGUACGGCCGCAAGGCUAAAACUCAAAGGAAUUGACGGGGGCCCGCACAAGCGGCGGAGCAUGCGGAUUAAUUCGAUGCAACGCGAAGAACCUUACCAAGGCUUGACAUGUGCCGGUCUGCUCCGGAGACGGGGUUUCCUCCCUUGUGGGGGCUGGUUCACAGGUGGUGCAUGGUUGUCGUCAGCUCGUGUCGUGAGAUGUUGGGUUAAGUCCCGCAACGAGCGCAACCCUUGUCUCGUGUUGCCAGCACGUUGUGGUGGGGACUCGCGGGAGACUGCCGGGGUCAACUCGGAGGAAGGUGGGGAUGACGUCAAAUCAUCAUGCCCCUUAUGUCUUGGGCUUCACGCAUGCUACAAUGGCCGGUACAGAGGGCUGCGAUACCGUGAGGUGGAGCGAAUCCCUUAAAGCCAGUCUCAGUUCGGAUCGGUGUCUGCAACUCGACACCGUGAAGUUGGAGUCGCUAGUAAUCGCAGAUCAGCAACGCUGCGGUGAAUACGUUCUCGGGCCUUGUACACACCGCCCGUCA
RNAcentral lists this ribosomal RNA (1414 nucleotides) under uncultured bacterium. RNAcentral's name for it is "16S ribosomal RNA". It matches the Rfam family "Bacterial small subunit ribosomal RNA". The record is from RNAcentral.